CGGCUACGAGUGCCUGUGCCCCGACGGCUUCCAGCUGGUGGCCCAGCGAAGAUGCGAAGAUAUCGAUGAGUGUCAGCAUCCCGACACCUGCAGCCAGCUCUGCGUGAACCUGGAGGGUGGCUACAAGUGCCAGUGUGAGGAAGGCUUCCAGCUGGACCCCCACACGAAGGCCUGCAAGGCUGUGGGCUCCAUCGCCUACCUCUUCUUCACCAACCGGCACGAGGUCAGGAAGAUGACGCUGGACCGGAGCGAGUACACCAGCCUCAUCCCCAACCUGAGGAACGUGGUCGCUCUGGACACGGAGGUGGCCAGCAAUAGAAUCUACUGGUCUGACCUGUCCCAGAGAAUGAUCUGCAGGUGAGCGUCGCCCCUGCCUGCAGCCUUGGCCC
This 389-nucleotide small RNA is filed under the name Pan troglodytes (chimpanzee). RNAcentral's name for it is "retained intron". Lineage: Eukaryota; Metazoa; Chordata; Mammalia; Primates; Hominidae. The record is from RNAcentral.